UUUGUUCUAUUCCUGACCGGC
Molecule: non-coding RNA, 21 nt
Filed under: Caenorhabditis elegans
Lineage: Eukaryota; Metazoa; Nematoda; Chromadorea; Rhabditida; Rhabditidae
Source: RNAcentral